UCCCAUGUAGUACAUCGGUUAGUAUAUUCGCCUUUCAUGAUUAUUCCAAAUAACCAGGACCGCGAAAGAGCCGGGUUCGACUCCCGGCGUGGGAA
Meira miltonrushii is the source of this 95-nucleotide non-coding RNA. The record is from the annotation of a RefSeq genome assembly. Lineage: Eukaryota; Fungi; Basidiomycota; Exobasidiomycetes; Exobasidiales; Brachybasidiaceae.